CUUUUUCAGCCUUCUCACAUUGCAGCACGAGAGUCCCUUAGACAUGCUGGCUGCUCAUUUGAUAAUCUGUGUUUUGCUCAGUACAAAAGGUUGCUGGCUAAGUUUUGUGAGCCCCUCUAACGUCAGGCUGGCAGUAUCUUGGGUUCAAUUAACAAGAAAGUCUACAGUAACAUUUUGUCAAUGGGGAAGGACUUGAAUUCACAGAACUGUCUCGGAAAGCCCUGGAAAAACAGGACAAAGAAACCUGUGUGAAUUUUCAGCUUUUCACCUUCUCUGAUUUUAUUUCUUCCUCACUCUUCCUUUGACAGUCCUCGCAGUCCGCCUGAGAGAGUAGAGAAGACCCCCUCCCAGAACCUUCCUGUAAGGUCUCCCCGCUGACUUCCUGUAGUGGAUGUGACUGUGUGCCAGGUGCCUGCCGAAGACCCCUGUCACUGACUGUGCCCUUUGGGAAAGAGUCAACAAUGGCCUCCUCCUAUGGCUGACUUCGUUCAUGUUCAGGCUCUCCAGCUUGCUAGUGAGAAUUGCCAAGGAUUGGUUCAUGGCAGGAUAGAACUAAACUGAUAGAUGAAAGCUCCACAGUGCUUCAAGACGGGGUCCCGUUCAUGUUAAGCAGUUUUCCUUCCUUCAAAAUAAAAAACUAGCAGUCCUUA
This 650-nucleotide long non-coding RNA is filed under the name Homo sapiens (human). RNAcentral's name for it is "non-protein coding lnc-DOCK8-2:5". Lineage: Eukaryota; Metazoa; Chordata; Mammalia; Primates; Hominidae. The record is from RNAcentral.